Dermacentor andersoni is the source of this 141-nucleotide small nuclear RNA. RefSeq annotates it as U4 spliceosomal RNA. The record is from RefSeq and is a predicted model, not a curated record. NCBI's taxonomy places the organism in Eukaryota, Metazoa, Arthropoda, Arachnida, Ixodida, Ixodidae.
AGCUUUUCGCAAAGACGUUGUCGUACCCUACGAAGUGUGAACUGAGGGGCGACUAAUGCUAGUUGAAAACUUAUACCAAUACCUCACCUGGACGAUGUGUAAUACCACCGGUCGUGGAAAUUUUUGGGUGGCCCCAAUGGC